This 373-nucleotide ribosomal RNA is filed under the name uncultured bacterium. RNAcentral's name for it is "bacterial SSU rRNA". It matches the Rfam family "Bacterial small subunit ribosomal RNA", at positions 523 to 898 of the family's 1533-position model. The record is from RNAcentral.
AUACGGAGGAUCCAAGCGUUAUCCGGAUUUAUUGGGUUUAAAGGGUGCGUAGGUGGCCUAUUAAGUCAGGGGUGAAAGACGGUAGCUUAACUAUCGCAGUGCCUUUGAUACUGAUGGGCUUGAAUACAGUUGAAGUGGGCGGAAUGUGACAAGUAGCGGUGAAAUGCAUAGAUAUGUCACAGAACACCGAUUGCGAAGGCAGCUCACUAAAGUGUGAUUGACACUGAGGCACGAAAGCGUGGGGAUCAAACAGGAUUAGAUACCCUGGUAGUCCACGCCCUAAACGAUGAAUACUCGAUGUUGGCGAUAUACGGUCAGCGUCUAAGCGAAAGCGUUAAGUAUUCCACCUGGGGAGUACGCCCGCAAGGGUGAA